Molecule: ribosomal RNA, 490 nt
Filed under: uncultured bacterium
Lineage: Bacteria
Description: partial 16S ribosomal RNA
Rfam family: Bacterial small subunit ribosomal RNA
Source: RNAcentral
AUUGAACGCUGGCGGCAGGCCUAACACAUGCAAGUCGAACGGUAACAGGAAGAAGCUUGCUUCUUUGCUGACGAGUGGCGGACGGGUGAGUAAUGUCUGGGAAACUGCCUGAUGGAGGGGGAUAACUACUGGAAACGGUAGCUAAUACCGCAUAACGUCGCAAGACCAAAAAGGGGGACCUUCGGGCCUCUUGCCAUCGGAUGUGCCCAGAUGGGAUUAGCUAGUAGGUGGGGUAACGGCUCACCUAGGCGACGAUCCCUAGCUGGUCUGAGAGGAUGACCAGCCACACUGGAACUGAGACACGGUCCAGACUCCUACGGGAGGCAGCAGUGGGGAAUAUUGCACAAUGGGCGCAAGCCUGAUGCAGCCAUGCCGCGUGUAUGAAGAAGGCCUUCGGGUUGUAAAGCACUUUCAGCGGGGAGGAAGGGAGUAAAGUUAAUACCUUUGCUCAUUGACGUUACCCGCAGAAGAAGCACCGGCUAACUCCGUG